AUACGUAGGUGACAAGCGUUAUCCGGAUUUACUGGGCGUAAAGGGCGUGUAGGCGGUCUUGCAAGUCAGAAGUGAAAUUCCUGAGCUCAACUCGGGCGCUGCUUCUGAAACUGCAGGACUUGAGUGCUGGAGGGGAUAGCGGAAUUCCUAGUGGAGCGGUAAAAUGCGCAGAUAUUAGGAAGAACACCGGUGGCGAAGGCGGCUAUCUGGACAGUAACUGACGCUGAGGCGCGAAAGCGUGGGGAGCAAACAGGAUUAGAUACCCUGGUAGUCCGCGCCGUAAACGAUGAAUACUAGGUGUAGGGGGUAUCGACCCCUUCUGUGCCGCAGUUAACACAAUAAGCAUUCCGCCUGGGGAGUACGGCCGCAAGGUUGAAACUCAAAUGAAUUGACGGGG
Molecule: ribosomal RNA, 397 nt
Filed under: uncultured bacterium
Lineage: Bacteria
Description: partial 16S ribosomal RNA
Rfam family: Bacterial small subunit ribosomal RNA
Source: RNAcentral